Molecule: non-coding RNA, 768 nt
Organism: Poecilia reticulata (guppy)
Lineage: Eukaryota; Metazoa; Chordata; Actinopteri; Cyprinodontiformes; Poeciliidae
Source: RefSeq, a predicted model, not a curated record
UGCUGCAGAGACUGGACAUCAUGCAAAGAAACCCUGGUUUUCAUGUGACAACUUGCAAACGCUAUUGAUCUCUGGAGAUGUGAUCAAUCAUCAAUGCAGCAUUAGUGCGUUGGGAUCAUUUUCUGUUCAAGAUAAUUAACGGCCAGAACUUUUUAUGUGGCCCUGUAGACCCGAGAGAGGCAUAAACAGAGCUGCCAAGAAAACAGUACAAAUGUUGGGCCUCCAGCCAAUCACAGCUUUAUGAACCUAUUAACAGUUAAAGCAGGAACAGGAAGCAUUUUGUUGCAUGAAUGUGACAUCAUGUUAACAAAGACGAGCCACUCACAAAAUCACACUGUUGGCUGAAUUUUUGAAUAAUCAAAACGUUUAACUUCAGAACAUCCGAGAACAAACAGCAUCAUAAAAACGUGAGAACAGCAGACACAGCAGGGAGGAAGACGUUGAGCAAGGAGAGAGAAAAGAAGUGAUAAGCAGCCAACAGGUUAAAUGUCAACUCGGUCAUAAUUUGUUGUGAAGUUGGACCCAAAGCCUGACAACCUGAUGUUGUAGGUGAUGAUGAUUUACUGAACUGGAAGCUGUUAGGCAGAUGGAGACAUGAGAGGAAUGUUAAACAUGGGCUGUGACGAAUACUCAACAGUGAUGCAACACAAAACAAUCAAGCUAUACCAAAGAUAAAGGCUAAAGGCCAACACAUAACCUCCAUGAAAGCAUAGAAAUUUGUUCUUUUACUAGAGAUGUCAUGUUGAAUAAAGUUUGUUCUGGACAAGA